GCCUGGGUGGCUCAGUCAGUUGAGCAUCCAACUCCGGCUCAGGUCAUGAUCUUGCAGUUCGUGGGUUCAAGCCCCACAUCAGGCU
This 85-nucleotide transfer RNA is filed under the name Felis catus (domestic cat). It matches the Rfam family "tRNA". Rfam says of the family: Transfer RNA (tRNA) molecules are approximately 80 nucleotides in length. Their secondary structure includes four short double-helical elements and three loops (D, anti-codon, and T loops). The record is from Rfam by way of RNAcentral. Lineage: Eukaryota; Metazoa; Chordata; Mammalia; Carnivora; Felidae.